Non-coding RNA from Pelobates cultripes (western spadefoot toad), 211 nucleotides. The record is from the annotation of a GenBank genome assembly. NCBI's taxonomy places the organism in Eukaryota, Metazoa, Chordata, Amphibia, Anura, Pelobatidae.
GCAGUGCCUCAUCCUGUACUCAUCUGCAUUUCCUCAUACUGAAAGGCACUAACCUGCAUUACUUCAUCCUGAACUUGCCCGAAUUACAUCUUACCGAAAGACUUUCCUUAUCAGCUUCUAAGAAUCCUGAUUUGUGGCGUAUUGCCUUCAUUGAAGAAUCUUAACUGCUUCAAUUGCUGCAUCACUGCAUGAUCUCAUAAGCAACCUGCAU